This 2434-nucleotide long non-coding RNA is filed under the name Triticum aestivum (bread wheat). RNAcentral describes it as "long non-coding RNA (TAES_LNC005866)". The record is from RNAcentral. Lineage: Eukaryota; Viridiplantae; Streptophyta; Magnoliopsida; Poales; Poaceae.
UGAACACAUAUUUCACAACCAUUGAUAAUAUGGUAAUAAGAAUACACACAUAUAUAUUGUUCACACGUUCAAACACGAGUCAAUCUACACAAAGCAAAGUUUGGCUAUCUUGGCAACCAUCCAGAAAACAAAAGUCACAUUAAAGGACCCCUAUUUGCUGGUCUAAAAUAGUUCAAACACUAAAUGGUCCAAAACACUUGAGUCACAUCCAUGAGCACAAGAUUUCUACUCCAUAAUACUUGAGCACCAAAUGGUCCAGAACACACAUACGUUCAUGAUUACAAUUAAGAUUGCUGGUCCAAAAUACUGUAGACAGCCAAAUGCUCCAUAACACUUCCAAGCCAUCACAUCCAUGCAUACUAGGUUGCUGAUUACGUGAAAAUACCCCACAAGAAUUUGGUAGAAAGUGGAGUCAGCUCAAGUGCUUUGAAGCUCGUAGGGAAAUUGGCAGCCAAGAGAAGCACAAGAAUUAAGUAUUUAUGACAUAUGUCCAUAACACACAUAACAUAGUUCUGUCAUACAUGAGGUAAGAUAUUUAUAAAAUGAUAAAAGGAAUCAUCAUGCAGACAUAUCUACAUAUAUAUAGAAUAUGCAUUUUUCCAUGGCAGACAAAUCUACAAAUUUUAUUCAACAUCUUACAUGCAACAAACUGUAGUAGGAUCAGCCAAUCUGAAGUUGUAUUUGUUCUACUACAAAGUUAGCUGAUGUAAUCUUCAAAGUUUGAAAAUAAUUGUGUUUGUACGUUAUCUGAUGAAGUAGAACGGAAAUGUACAACUUCUGACCCCAAAAACUGUAGUAUGUGAAGUUCAGUUUAUGCCAUGUGAUCUUCAGAUUGUGACCACCAAAGGGAUAACACCAAACUGAUUUGUGUAUGUUAACUCCUAUAAGCAAUGUAUGUGCGCUUCAGAUCAUGUUGUGUUAUUUUCAUAUUUUUUAUUAUAAACUGCAGUAUGUGGAGUUCAGUUUUAUGAACAAGAUACAAAAUGUUAUCUAGUAAUGCUAUAGGUUCAGGCAGAAAUGUCGCGCUUUAGUCAAGGCUCAAAAUGAUCUAGGUAUAUUUCUAAGAGAGAAACAAUAAACUUAAUGUAUGUAUUAUGUUGUAGUACCUGCACCUCCUGGUACAUUAGUUGCCAUCUUGUCAUCCUUCAUCUACAACAAUAACCAUUACUUAAUAGAAAUAAAUGUUGCCUUCUUAUCAGUUUUUUUCUAGAAUAAUCCUUAUCAGUUUGAGGCUGCUUCUUUCACUGCAAAUUGCUCUGAAAAAAUGUGUAGACAUGUAUCAACCAUCCUGCAAAAAAAAGAAAAUGUGUUCAAUAUAGAUAAAUCGGCUUCCGAAAUCAAAUCAUAAAGUAAAGGCCAAAGGUCUGCAAGUUAUUUUCAUAUUGUGUUAUUUUCAUAUUUUUUAUUAUAAACUGCAGUAUGUGGAGUUCAGUUUUAUGAACAAGAUACAAAAUGUUAUCUAGUAAUGCUAUAAGUUCAGGCAGAAAUGUCGCGCUUUAGUCAAGGCUCAAAAUGAUCUAGGUAUAUUUCUAAGAGAGAAACAAUAAACUUAAUGUAUGUAUUAUGUUGUAGUACCUGCACCUCCUGGUACAUUAGUUGCCGUCUUGUCAUCCUUCAUCUACAACAAUAACCAUUACUUAAUAGAAAUAAAUGUUGCCUUCUUAUCAGUUUUUUUCUAGAAUAAUCCUUAUCAGUUUGAGGCUGCUUCUUUCACUGCAAAUUGCUCUGACAAAAUGUGUAGACAUGUAUCAACCAUCCUGCAAAAAAAGAAAAUGUGUUCAAUAUAGAUAAAUCGGCUUCCGAAAUCAAAUCAUAAAGUAAAGGCCAAAGGUCUGCAAGUUAUGUACUUGGUUAGUAUAAUGAAUGAACUUGUCAAAAGAACAAAUAUUAUGCCAACAACCAGAAUGAACACGAACAUCUCAUAUAAGUAUUGAAUGUCUGAAUCCUGAAAUUAUCUAGCCACUGCACCAAGGUGGCGGACUCUACAAUUUGAAUUCACAUGUCCAAGCAAUGCGGUGUGAGGCACUAUGAGAAGGUGCCUCUAAGGUUUGAAUGUGAUCGGAACUUGCAAUUCUCCCCGCUGGAAACCAUAUGCAGCUUCAAGUAGUUGAAGGUAUGUGGAUGUAGAGGAAGAUGAGAGUAUAUGUUGAGCCUAAGGUUUGAAUGCUAAUGCCAUAUUCAUGCAAAAGGAAAACAACACCGUGCUCACAUAAAAAAAUUAUAUCAAAAGAUGACACUGUUAUUCAUAAAUAUUAUGUGUAGAUGACGAUGUAAUUCAAAAGUGAUGGAGAAUAAAAUUGGAAUGUGCCUCCUUAAACAUUGACUGGACUUUGGGUCCACCUCGGCGCCCUCCGCUCGCCCACCUCUCGUCCUUGCUGCCAGGUAGUAUCGCGUACUCGCCGCCCUGCAAGCUCACCAUCAUGUACACCCGCUC